Molecule: ribosomal RNA, 354 nt
Filed under: uncultured bacterium
Lineage: Bacteria
Description: partial 16S ribosomal RNA
Rfam family: Bacterial small subunit ribosomal RNA
Source: RNAcentral
UACGGAGGGGGCGAGUGUUGUCCGUCAUGACUGGGUGUAAAGGGCGCGUAGGCGGCCGUACCGGUGAUCGGAGUCGUCCGCCCACCCGGAGUUUGUAAUGGACAGAAGGGAGGGGAGUUCGGGAACUGCCGUGCACUUCGUUGGCCCGACCAAAGCCUUUCCCAAGAAAGAAGGUCGCUGAAGGCUGAACAACGGUACAAAUCGCGAAAGCGGUGGCUAGAGAAUGGUUCAGGAAGGCCUUGGUUUAUUUCCGAGGAGUAGAAUCCAUAGAAGAAUUAAGUGAGAACAGCCGGCGAAGGCGGCGGUCUGGAAUCAUUCUGACGCUGAGGCGCGAAAGCAUGGGGAGCAAAGGGG